Molecule: transfer RNA, 77 nt
Filed under: Pygmaiobacter massiliensis
Lineage: Bacteria; Bacillati; Bacillota; Clostridia; Eubacteriales; Oscillospiraceae
Also listed under: 3 other names
Description: tRNA-Val
Rfam family: tRNA
About the family: Transfer RNA (tRNA) molecules are approximately 80 nucleotides in length. Their secondary structure includes four short double-helical elements and three loops (D, anti-codon, and T loops).
Source: RNAcentral
GGAGGCGUAGCUCAGCUGGUUAGAGCGUUCGGUUCACAUCCGAGAGGUCGCGGGUUCGAGUCCCUCCGUCUCCACCA